This 852-nucleotide ribosomal RNA is filed under the name Paraphysalospora eucalypti. Its description in RNAcentral is "eukaryotic LSU rRNA". It matches the Rfam family "Eukaryotic large subunit ribosomal RNA", at positions 68 to 943 of the family's 3401-position model. The record is from RNAcentral. Lineage: Eukaryota; Fungi; Ascomycota; Sordariomycetes; Amphisphaeriales; Clypeophysalosporaceae.
ACAGGGAUUGCCUCAGUAACGGCGAGUGAAGCGGCAACAGCUCAAAUUUGAAAUCUGGCGCUUGCGUCCGAGUUGUAAUUUGUAGAAGAUGCUUUUGGUGAGGUUCCUUCCGAGUUCUCUGGAACGAGACGCCUUAGAGGGUGAGAGCCCCGUACGGUUGGAUACCAAGCCUUUGUAAAGCUCUUUCGACGAGUCGAGUAGUUUGGGAAUGCUGCUCUAAAUGGGAGGUAAAUUUCUUCUAAAGCUAAAUACCGGCCAGAGACCGAUAGCGCACAAGUAGAGUGAUCGAAAGAUGAAAAGCACUUUGAAAAGAGGGUUAAAUAGCACGUGAAAUUGUUGAAAGGGAAGGAUUUAUGACCAGACUUUUUCUGGGCGGAUCAUCCGGUCUUCUGACCGGUGCACUUCGUUCAGUUUAGGCCAGCAUCGGUUUCUAUAGAGGGAUAAAAGCGGUAGGAAUGUGGCUCCCUCCGGGGAGUGUUAUAGCCUGCCGUAUAAUACCUUUACGGGGACCGAGGUACGCGCUUCUGCAAGGAUGCUGGCAUAAUGGUUAUUAAUCACCCGUCUUGAAACACGGACCAAGGAGUCGAACAUUUGUGCAAGUGUUUGGGUGUUAAACCCUCACGCGUAAUGAAAGUGAACGGAGGUGAGAGCCCUUUACGGGGUGCAUCAUCGACCGAUCCUGAAGUUUUCGGAUGGAUUUGAGUAAGAGCAUAACUGUUCGGACCCGAAAGAUGGUGAACUAUGCGUGGAUAGGGUGAAGCCAGAGGAAACUCUGGUGGAGGCUCGCAGCGGUUCUGACGUGCAAAUCGAUCGUCAAAUCUGCGCAUGGGGGCGAAAGACUAAUCGAACCAU